GAUGAACGCUGGCGGCGUGCCUAAUACAUGCAAGUCGAGCGAACGGACGAGAAGCUUGCUUCUCUGAUGUUAGCGGCGGACGGGUGAGUAACACGUGGAUAACCUACCUAUAAGACUGGGAUAACUUCGGGAAACCGGAGCUAAUACCGGAUAAUAUUUUGAACCGCAUGGUUCAAAAGUGAAAGACGGUCUUGCUGUCACUUAUAGAUGGAUCCGCGCUGCAUUAGCUAGUUGGUAAGGUAACGGCUUACCAAGGCAACGAUGCAUAGCCGACCUGAGAGGGUGAUCGGCCACACUGGAACUGAGACACGGUCCAGACUCCUACGGGAGGCAGCAGUAGGGAAUCUUCCGCAAUGGGCGAAAGCCUGACGGAGCAACGCCGCGUGAGUGAUGAAGGUCUUCGGAUCGUAAAACUCUGUUAUUAGGGAAGAACAUAUGUGUCAGUAACUGUGCACACCUUGACGGUACCUAAUCAGAAAGCCACGGCUAACUACGUG
This 497-nucleotide ribosomal RNA is filed under the name uncultured bacterium. RNAcentral's name for it is "partial 16S ribosomal RNA". It matches the Rfam family "Bacterial small subunit ribosomal RNA", at positions 28 to 507 of the family's 1533-position model. The record is from RNAcentral.